GCUUAAUUUGCUAAGUGGUAAAGCAAUAGACUCUUAAUCUAUCAUUCGUAGGUUCAAAUCCUACAUUAAGCCCC
This 74-nucleotide transfer RNA is filed under the name Calothrix parasitica NIES-267. RNAcentral's name for it is "tRNA-Lys". It matches the Rfam family "tRNA". Rfam says of the family: Transfer RNA (tRNA) molecules are approximately 80 nucleotides in length. Their secondary structure includes four short double-helical elements and three loops (D, anti-codon, and T loops). Further hydrogen bonds mediate the characteristic L-shaped molecular structure. tRNAs have two regions of fundamental functional importance: the anti-codon, which is responsible for specific mRNA codon recognition, and the 3' end, to which the tRNAs corresponding amino acid is attached (by aminoacyl-tRNA synthetases). tRNAs cope with the degeneracy of the genetic code in two manners: having more than one tRNA (with a specific anti-codon) for a particular amino acid; and 'wobble' base-pairing, i.e. permitting non-standard base-pairing at the 3rd anti-codon position. The record is from RNAcentral. Lineage: Bacteria; Bacillati; Cyanobacteriota; Cyanophyceae; Nostocales; Calotrichaceae.